CCUUUAUGGAGAGUUUGAUCCUGGCUCAGGACGAACGCUGGCGGCGUGCCUAAUACAUGCAAGUCGAGCGGAUCUUACCUUCGGGUAAGGUUAGCGGCGGACGGGUGAGUAACACGUAGGCAACCUGCCUGUGAGACCGGGAUAACAUUCGGAAACGAAUGCUAAUACCGGAUAUGCAACUUGGCUGCAUGGUCGAGUUGGGAAA
Molecule: ribosomal RNA, 205 nt
Filed under: Paenibacillus taihuensis
Lineage: Bacteria; Bacillati; Bacillota; Bacilli; Caryophanales; Paenibacillaceae
Description: partial 16S ribosomal RNA
Rfam family: Bacterial small subunit ribosomal RNA
Source: RNAcentral